This 1936-nucleotide ribosomal RNA is filed under the name Vexillifera kereti. Its description in RNAcentral is "partial small subunit ribosomal RNA". It matches the Rfam family "Eukaryotic small subunit ribosomal RNA". Lineage: Eukaryota; Discosea; Flabellinia; Dactylopodida; Vexilliferidae. The record is from RNAcentral.
CUCAAGAUUAAGCCAUGCAUGUGUAAGUAUAAACACGAUUUAGAACAGUGAAACUGCGAAAGGCUCAUUUAAACAGUUAUAAUUUGCUCGGUGAAAAAGUUUUCCUAUCGUUUUCGGACGAGAGAAAAUAUUACAUGGAUAACCGUGGAAAAUCUAGAGCUAAUACAUGCGUAAAGCUGAGGGGCCCUGGCGCCCUCUCAGUGCGUAUAUUAGAUACCGAAACCCGAUUUCUACUUGGCAACAAGUAAAUAAAAAGCGAGGUGAAUCAUAAUAUUCAUAGCGGAUCGUAUCGCAGCAAUGCGGACGACAAGCCGAAAAAAUUUCUGACCUAUCAAUUGAGGAAGGUAGCAUAGAGGGCUACCUUGAUGUUAACGGGAAACGGAGAAUUAGGGUUUGAUUCCGGAGAGGCAGCCUGAGAAACGGCUACCACUUCCAAGGAAGGCAGCAGGCGCGAAACUUAUCCAAUGGCAAUACGCCGAGAUAGUGAAAAUAUAUAUGGAUAGGCAAUUUUUAAAAUUGCUUUUAAUCCAAAUGAGAACAAUUUAAAUCCCUUAUCGAGAAUCCAUUCGUGGGCAAGUCUGGUGCCAGCAGCCGCGGUAACUCCAGCACGAAAAGUGUAUACGAAUUCUGUUGCAGUUAAAAAGCUCGUAGUUGAAUUUUUUUUUUUUUUUUUUAAAAAUUAAAAUAAAUUUUUAUUUUAUUUGAAAGAAAAAAAAAUAUUUAAUUUUUUAUUUUUAAUAAAAAAUUUAGAUUACUUUGAAUAAAUUAGAGUGUUUAAAGCAAACCAAAAUCAAUUGAGAUUUUAAAACAGUUUGAAUAUAUUAGCAUGGGAUAAUGAAAAAGGACAUAUGCACUAUAUGUUAGAAAAUUGGAAAUUGGGUUUAAUAGGUAUAUGUAAUGAUGGAAAGGAACGGUUGGGGGUAUUUGUAUCAAAGCCGAAACGGUGAAAUGUAUGGAUUGCUUUGGGACAAACAACAGCAAAAGCAUUUACCAAGGACGUGUCCAUUAAUCAAGAACGAAAGUUAGGGGAUCGAAGAUGAUCAGAGACCGUUUUAGUCUUAACCAUAAACGAUGCCGACCAAGGAUAGUGGGUCGUCUAUUUAAUAAAAUGAAUGUUGACUCUCACUGAACUAGAAACGUAAAGGGAAACCGUGAGUUUUUGGGUUCUGGGGGAAGUACGAUCGCAAGGUUGAAACUUAAAGGAAUUGACGGAAGGACACCACCAGGUGUGGAACCUGCGGCUUAAUUCGACUCAACACGGGACAACUUACCAGGUCCAGAUACAGGAAGGAUUGACAGAUUGAUAGCUCUUUCUUGAUUCUGUAGAUGGUGGUGCAUGGCCGUUCUUAGUUGGUGGAGUGAUCUGUCUGGUUAAUUCCGAUAACGAACGAGACCUCAGUUUAUUAAUUAGUUUUAAUUAAAUUAAUUUUUUAAUUUAAUUUAAAUUUUUUGUAUAUCAAAAAUGAAAAAUAUUUCGAUAUUUUUUUACUUCUUAGAAAGACUUUUCAUAUCCAGUGAAAGGAAGUUUGAGGCAAUAACAGGUCUGUGAUGCCCUUUAGAUGUUCUGGGCUGCACGCGCGUUACAAUGAAGAUAUCAACGGGUUUUAAAUUUUCAAAUCAAUGAUUUGUAGAUUUGUUCCUUUUUCGAAUGAAAUGGGUAAACCUUGGCAACCAUCUUCGUGCUGGGGAUUGAUGAUUGUAAUUUUUCAUCAUGAACGAGGAAUACCUAGUAGGCACAAUUCAACAAAUUGUACCGACUCUGUCUCUGUCCUUUGUACACACCGCCCGUCGCUUCUACCGAUGAAUGAUCCGGUGAAAAUUUGGGAUUUAAUUUUUCUUUUUUUAAAGAAGAGUUGAAAAACUUAUUUGAAUCUUGUCAUUUAGAGGAAGGAGAAGUCGUAACAAGGUAUCCGUAGGUGAACCUGCAGAAGGAUCA